UACAGGGUCUAAUUUGACAGGUUGGAAGCUAAUACCACUAUCAAAUCAUCCUGUUUUUUAUUUAACCAUAUAUAUAUACAUGGUUAAAUAAAAAACAGGAUGAUAUAUAUAUAUAUAUAUAUAUAUAUAUAUAUAUCUGGAUACAUCUAUUUUACCUGUUUUAUUUGCUUUAUAACUGUGUGUGUGUUUUACCUGUUGUAUGUUUUUACCUGCCUCGUUUAAUCUUGUCAACUGUUUGUUUUAAAGCACUGACCAGAAGUGGCAACUGUGAAUCUCGUUGUAUUUAAUACGAUGACAAUAAAGCUUUCUAUUCUA
Molecule: long non-coding RNA, 315 nt
Organism: Sebastes umbrosus (honeycomb rockfish)
Lineage: Eukaryota; Metazoa; Chordata; Actinopteri; Perciformes; Sebastidae
Exons: 3
Source: RefSeq, a predicted model, not a curated record